GAUGAACGCUGCGGCGUGCCUAAUACAUGCAAGUCGAGCGAACAGACGAGGAGCUUGCUCCUCUGACGUUAGCGGCGGACGGGUGAGUAACACGUGGAUAACCUACCUAUAAGACUGGGAUAACUUCGGGAAACCGGAGCUAAUACCGGAUAAUAUAUUGAACCGCAUGGUUCAAUAGUGAAAGACGGUUUUGCUGUCACUUAUAGAUGGAUCCGCGCCGCAUUAGCUAGUUGGUAAGGUAACGGCUUACCAAGGCAACGAUGCGUAGCCGACCUGAGAGGGUGAUCGGCCACACUGGAACUGAGACACGGUCCAGACUCCUACGGGAGGCAGCAGUAGGGAAUCUUCCGCAUUGGGCGAAAGCCUGACGGAGCAACGCCGCGUGAGUGAUGAAGGUCUUCGGAUCGUAAAACUCUGUUAUUAGGGAAGAACAAAUGUGUAAGUAACUAUGCACGUCUUGACGGUACCUAAUCAGAAAGCCACGGCUAACUACGUG
RNAcentral lists this ribosomal RNA (496 nucleotides) under uncultured bacterium. Its description in RNAcentral is "partial 16S ribosomal RNA". It matches the Rfam family "Bacterial small subunit ribosomal RNA", at positions 28 to 507 of the family's 1533-position model. The record is from RNAcentral.